This is a long non-coding RNA of Myotis brandtii (Brandt's bat), 806 nucleotides long. RefSeq lists it as uncharacterized. NCBI's taxonomy places the organism in Eukaryota, Metazoa, Chordata, Mammalia, Chiroptera, Vespertilionidae. The transcript is spliced from 3 exons. The record is from RefSeq and is a predicted model, not a curated record.
UUUAAAAAACAGUGUCAUGCAAAUUGCCCUUUAAAAUAUGAUGGAAUGGAAAGGGCCCUGAGCUUGAAGUUAGGAGGCCUGGAUUGUAAUCCUUGCUCUGUCAGUUAUUAGCUACACAUCCUUGAUCAAGUAAUUGUUCUGAGCCUGUUUAUUCUCAUUUGCAAAAUGGAGAAAAUGUGUCUACCUCACACAUGGUGCUAAUCCAGCUUCAGUGCGUUAGCAUGUGAAAGUGCCUGCGGUGUAAUAGGCAGACAGUGAAUUUUUGAGUUAGCUGAUUUGUUUUUAUAAAAUUUCUGUUUAUUAUUACAGAAGUUACAGAGUCAUAAAAAUACAGGUAAGCCAAAAAGGCAGAAACUCACCCUAGUCCCACCUCUCAGAGGCUCAUUCAGAGCUCCAGCACAUGUGAGGUAGGUCAGUGGAUAUCCCAGUAUAGGAGCAGAGAAGUUGCUCUUUUAAUACUUACUGACCUGGAAGAGGAGGAGAGGAAGGGCACAUGCCUAACAUUUAUUGUAUGUCUACAGUAUGAUUUAAAAUAAAUAAAGAUUUGGGCUCUGCUGCUAAAUGGAGUGUGAAUCCUGAAUCCCAUGCCCCUACCUGUGAAUGCUACUGCAGCUUCUUUAACUUACUUUGACUGUGAGGCUAGACCUAAUAAGAAAGUGCUUUGGAAAGGGAAAGAGAAGAGUUGUCACCUGGAGGCCAGGAUAAAUUUGGAAGAAGUAGGAGCGUUAGGCUCCUCUAUGCUCAAAGCUUUGGAUACUCUCAACAAAUUGCUAUUUCUUCUGCCCCCCCUUUUUUUUUAACAGCUU